RNAcentral lists this transfer RNA (71 nucleotides) under Megachile sculpturalis. Its description in RNAcentral is "tRNA-Leu". Lineage: Eukaryota; Metazoa; Arthropoda; Insecta; Hymenoptera; Megachilidae. The record is from RNAcentral.
AUUACUUUGGCAGAUUAGUGCGUUAAAUUUAGGGUUUAAUAUAUAUAUAUAUUAUAUAUAUAUAAGUAGUA